This 240-nucleotide ribosomal RNA is filed under the name uncultured bacterium. RNAcentral's name for it is "partial 16S ribosomal RNA". It matches the Rfam family "Bacterial small subunit ribosomal RNA", at positions 118 to 345 of the family's 1533-position model. The record is from RNAcentral.
UGGGUAACCUGCCUCAAAGAGGGGAAUAGCCUCCCGAAAGGGAGAUUAAUACCGCAUAAUAUGUUUAAGUCGCAUGACUUUAACAUCAAAGGAUUUUCUUUUAGAAAUUCCACUUUGAGAUGGACCCGCGGCGCAUUAGCUAGUUGGUGAGGUAACGGCUCACCUAGGCAACGAUGCGUAGCCGACCUGAGAGGGUNAUCGGCCACAUUGGAACUGAGACACGGUCCAGCUCCGUAGGAG